RNA transcript from Corythoichthys intestinalis (scribbled pipefish), 2941 nucleotides. It is a transcript of the gene named checkpoint kinase 1, with no coding region annotated. The transcript is spliced from 14 exons. Lineage: Eukaryota; Metazoa; Chordata; Actinopteri; Syngnathiformes; Syngnathidae. The record is from RefSeq and is a predicted model, not a curated record.
GAAGCGGGCGUGUGCAAAAACAGCGCGCCGAUUUGACAAACGGAAGCGCCUCUGGUUUACAGAUUAACGAAGAAUUAAAGAGCGUAUUUAUUUGAUGUCUCGCUCCAAAUAGCGAUCAACUAUUAGCUCAAGAGAUACGAAUGUGUUUAUAACCUUGCUUUUGUUGUUAGUAUGGCGGUGCCUUUUGUGCAGGACUGGGAUCUUGUUCAGACACUUGGAGAAGGCGCUUAUGGAGAAGUGAGGCUGCUGGUGAACAGACAGACACAGGAGGCAGUCGCAGUAAAAGUGAUCGACACCUUGCAAGCCAAAGAGUGUGCGGAAAAUGUCAGGAAGGAAAUCUGCGUGCACAAGGUGCUCAACCACCACAACAUUGUGCGAUUCUUCGGCUGUCGGACAGAAGGAACUACAGUCUACCUCUUUUUGGAGUACUGCACUGGAGGCGAGCUGUUUGAUCGCAUUGAGCCGGAUGUCGGAAUGGCAGAGAAAGAUGCUCACAAAUUUUUCCAGCAACUUGUCGCCGCUGUGGUGACCUCCAUCCGUAGUUUUUCCUUCUCGCAGGAAUACCUCCACAAAAUCGGCAUCACUCACAGAGACAUAAAGCCAGAGAACAUUUUGCUGGAUGACAAAGACAACCUCAAGUUGAGCGAUUUUGGUCUGGCAACCAUGUUUCGCUUCAAAGGACGGGAGCGGCCGUUGUCUCGUGUCUGCGGAACUCUCCCUUACGUCGCACCAGAGCUGUUGAGCCAGGUCGAGUACCAAGCUCAGCCCGCAGAUAUCUGGGCUUGCGGGAUUGUGCUGACCGCAAUGCUAGCUGGAGAAUUGCCAUGGGACCAGCCGUCGGAAAUCUGUCAGGAAUUUUCUGAUUGGCUAAAGAAGAAAACCUACUUGCCGCCCUGGAAGAAAAUACAGCCGAUGCCUCUUUGUUUGUUGUCCAAGUUACUUUUGGCCAAACCAGAAGCACGCAUUACCAUUGAGGACAUUCAGAAAGACCGCUGGUUCAUUGAAGGUGUAAAGAUGUCCGUAGCUACUUCAAACUCAAGUAGCAACAAAGACCAACGAUCAAGUGUUGGAGUUAUAUCUCGAGUCGGAAGUGAUGAGCAGAUGCAGUUCUCCAGCUCCCAGCCCGACCCAGCCGCAGAAGGCUGGGAAGCCAUGCUGUUCAUUGCCCAAUCGGAGGGUCAGGUCAGCUUCUCUCAGCCGACCAAACCCGAGCACAUGCUGCUGGGUAGUCAGCUGCUGGCGACGCCGGGAGCAAGUCAGACACCGUGGCAAAGAUUAGUUCGCAGAAUGACGCGUUUCUUCACAUCGGUGAGCGCUGACACCUCGUUGACUUCACUGAAGGGCGCCUGUGACAACAUGGCACUCAGCUACAAACUCACUUGCAACAAUCAGGUGACUGUGAGUACCUCGGACAAGCGCAACAACAAGCUGAUUUUCAAAGUCCACUUGCUGGAAAUGAAUAAAACAGUGCUGUUAGACUUCAGGCUAUCUAAGGGUGACGGUCUGGAAUUCAAGCGUCUCUUCUUGAAGAUAAAACAGAAGUUGGGUGACAUCAUCUGCACGCAGAAGAUUGCAUUUCCGACCGCAUGAAGCUUCUGGUGACCACGAACAAAUGAACUGUGAAAGGAGGAAGCAUCUGUAUAUACAACACCGUGCUUCUCUGGAGGUCUUAGGACAGUGGGCAGGACUUGGCUGGCCCGGACGCUCUGCUACGCUGCGUGACGAUUGGAUGAUCUGUCUGAGGCUGAAUCCCUUUUUGAUUGACAGGGAAAUGAGCGAAUCAGCAAUUUUGUUGUUUAACGUCCGUGGGAAGAAUUUUUCAAUUUUCAUUCUGUUGUUCUGAGUUGAACUGGAGACUUUCCUAAUCAUCUUAGUGACACUAUCUUUGUUAAAAACGACAAGUAAAAAAAUUUUUUUUUUCUUUUGUCGCUGCUUGUGUUUAGAGACAGACUUCUGGCACUCUAAUUUCUUUCCCUGAGCCCCUUUGGACACACUUUGAGCUUCCCCUCCUUGAAAUAACAGCAUCCACCACUGGUAUAUACACUUAACAUAUUUAGAAUCUUAGGCUUAUAACAUGGAUGUUCUCAGCUGUUAGCAAUCACAGAUAUGGCGUGAGUAAAGUUGUAAAAUUUGGGGAAUUUUUGAAGUUGGACAUGUUGCAAGCUGAUGUAACAUGGGUAUUUAUAGGAUUUAAAAAAAUAAUAAUAAUAAAUUUAAAAAAAAACAGUUUUAACACAAAACAGCUAGUUCACUGGUUCCCCCAUUAGUUCUUAGUUCUGUGAUUCAUGUUGCUAGACUAUAUACUGUACUAUUUAGUACACCAGAUCCCAUUUUAAGUUAAAACUCAUUGAGUCAACAGGGAAAUUGUAUUAGAUUGUUGAUAGAAGCUACUCAAAAUGUAAUUACUAAAAGUUUAUAAGGGUGCGCCAUAUAGUAGUACCGUAAUAAUCUCCAUCCACAUCCUCAGCUUUGUCCAACUUUGAAUAUUUCCAAAAUUCCCCCGCUUAACUUUAGGUGGAAUAUUCUCAUAUACAUAGAACAUAAGAUGACAGAAGAAGGGAAGAAGCAAACAGAAAAUGAUUGUCGUGUGUGGAUGUUUGUGUAGGAUUUGGGUUGGGUCUUUCACCUGAGUAGAUAAAGAAAGGAAAAAACAAUGUUAAACUGUUACCAGAUUAAAUUAUUAACCACAGCCUAAUUAAGAUUCACUAAUAAAGGCCUUUAAAAAAAAUGUGUUCUCAGUAAGCUUGCACACUCAACUGGUAGAUGUAAGCAACAAAAUACAUUGUUGAUCGUGUAGAGGUCGACCGACAUAUCGGCCGGCCGUUAUAUCGGGCCAAUAUUUGGCUAUUUUUCCAAAACCGGCCAAUUAACAAAAGAUAUUAAAGCCGAUUAAUAAGGAUUUUAAUCAGGCAACUGGGGCCGCCGCUGACUGACUGUAUGA